CUAUUUCUCACUAGAGCUUGAUUGGAUUUUUUAUACAAUGGGAUGGUUAUUUUAUGAUUGUAUUCGUAUCCAAAUCCAUACAUUAACUUGCUAAUCACAGCUUAUUUACAGAUCACAUGUCAAAAACCAAAAACCUAUCUUCACUCCGCAGGCCCAAAAAGGAAAAUGUCAAGCCAAAUUGAGGGGAAAAAAAAUAAAAAGUAAAAACCCUAAUUUUAAUUAUAAUUACAAUUAGUAUAAACCUUUCUACAAUGACGUUUGAUUGUCAGAGUCUCCCCCGCCAGCGUUGCUAUUACAAACGGUGUCGCCUUGCCAUGUCCAGACAAUGUCUUUCAAUGCAGGCCUAACAUCUUCGUCGCAGAACUUGGCAUACUCCAAAGUAUCGCCGGCCGACUUGGAAAAUUCCACGACGGCGACCUCUGGAGCUACCUCGAACACCUCGGCUGUGACAGAUAGCCGCCCUUUCCUUCCCUCCGACGGGCUUUGCAAUCUCAUUUUGAAAUCUUUGACCUUUGCUACCUUAUAAUUCAACCCGUUUGCAAUCCCUUCAAUCUUGUUCAUGAUUGCAUUUGCCGAGAAUUUGGAGGUGAACAUAGACCCUGUUUUCCUCUUGUUCUCGAAUAGACUCGACAAAUCAAACCCAGAAGACAUCGAGGAAAUGAACUCGAAAGCGUUAAAGAAUUUUGGGGAGGAAACUUUAGUCAUCACUGCAGAUAAAGAUUCGUCUUCCUCCUCUGUUUUAUCUGGGUUUGAUAUUUCUCUGACGGAGAAAGCUAAUGGUCUUGUAAAUCCCUUUCGAAACCAAGGAACUCGCAUUAUCGCUGGUAUGGUGAUUCUUCUUUCUGGGUCAGCAACCAGAAGUCUGGAAAUCAAGCGCUUAGCUUCGGUGGAAAACCAUGGUGGACAUUCAAAUUCUGCUUUGAAAAUUUUUCUAUACAUCUUCAUGACAUUCUCAUCUUGAAAUGGCAAGAAUCCAGCCAGGAGAACAUAAAGGAUUACCCCACAUGACCAUAUAUCGGCUUUGGAUCCGUCGUAUCCCUUCUUUCUCAGAACCUCCGGCGCCACAUACGCUGGAGUCCCGCACUGCGUAUGGAGGAGCCCAUCGUUGAGUAAUUGUUCCGGCAAGGCUGAUAGCCCAAAAUCAGAGAUUUUGAGGUCUCCAUUUUCAUCUAAUAACAGAUUCUCUGGCUUCAAGUCUCGGUGAGAAACGCCUCUGCUAUGGCAGAAAUCGACCGCACUGAUUAGCUGUUGAAAGUACUUGCGAGCGGCAUCUUCUUUGAGCUUCCCUUUUGCUACCUUAGCGAAGAGCUCGCCGCCGCGGACAUACUCCAUAACAAAGAAGAUCUUGGUUUUUGUAGCCAACACUUCUUUGAGCUCCACUAUAUUUGGGUGUCGAACUAGUCGCAUAACGGAGAUUUCUCGCUUGAUCUGCUCCAUCAUCCCUUCCUUUUUGACUUGAUCUUUAUUGAUUACUUUGAUUGCUACGCUUUCUCCAGUUGCCAUGUUCUUGCCAUAGUAGACCUUGGCAAAAGUCCCCUUCCCCAACAACCUGCCCAUCUCGUACUUGUCAAACAGAACAUGUCUCUCUUCCAUAACUCAAAAAAUAAAAAUAAAAAUUUCUUCUUUCUUUCUUUCUUCAAUUUCAACUCAAAAGGUAAUAUGCAGGAAUAUCAGAAUAAAACGAUUCUUGCAUCAAUUUGGAAGCUGGGAGGCUCUAUUUACAGGAGUAGAUGAACAGUGUAAAGGGAUCCAGGAAAGAACAGCUGAUAUACUGAUUUGAAUGGAUUCCAUUAAAUGGGUUGAUUACUAAUGUGAGGUUUCAAAAGAAUUGUCAGAAGAAAGUGUGGAUUGCAACAGAUAUAGAAGAGGAGAAGGCAAAAAACUGUACUCUAGACAUUGGAGCACCUAGUAUUUUGCUUACAGGAAACCUUGGAAGAGCCGCAAGGGGCACACCG
This 1955-nucleotide unclassified non-coding RNA is filed under the name Hevea brasiliensis (rubber tree). The record is from RNAcentral. Lineage: Eukaryota; Viridiplantae; Streptophyta; Magnoliopsida; Malpighiales; Euphorbiaceae.